This 472-nucleotide long non-coding RNA is filed under the name Bos taurus (domestic cattle). Its description in RNAcentral is "long non-coding RNA NONBTAT013916". The record is from RNAcentral. Lineage: Eukaryota; Metazoa; Chordata; Mammalia; Artiodactyla; Bovidae.
GGGAGGGAGGGUACAAAGACAUUUUAAAGACAUCUAAUAUCAUCCAGAAUGAUGGGCCAGGGUAAGUAAGCUGGUAAACUACAUUUUAAAGAAUGGCUGGAGGCAAUGUGGGUGUCCCUAACUACAUAAUGAAACAUAGCACUUUAAGACAGAGCGAUGAAAAUGCCUCACCAACUGAUGCUCUGCUUGACGGUAUGGUAUUUUUGUUCCAUACUUGGAAUCCAUUAUUUGACAAUGUACUCCUUUGGAAAUUGCUAAGGUUUAUCUUAUCCCUUUAUCAAAACUUUUUUUUUUAAACCUGAACUCUUUUGCUUGAGACAGUAUUGCUUUCAAGCUUAAAAAUAAAUGCUCUGUGAUACACAGUUCCUAACUCAAGCAAGAGAUCUGACACACUGUAUGAGAAGCAUUUAGUAUAUAAAGACAGGCAGUUGAGCCUCAGGGCUUUCAGUUACAUUACCAGAACAGAAGUAUU